GAUGAGGUCCAGGGUACAGCCACAGAAGAGGAGAGGAGCAAGUUUAAGCAGUUUAUCUGACUUGGGAUACAGUGGUCAACAGCUAAACCCAGUGGGGAAGACAUUCAGUAAACAGAUGAGCAUCUGGUGGAUAUGGAUAUAUACAUAUAUAUAUAUAUAUGUUUUCCUCCAUGUUUUUGUAACCCACACCUUUACUUUCCAUAUACCUUAAUAUCUCACAUUCUCUCUCCUUCAGUGUUAUUUAACAUUUCAAAAUUAAGUUUCAUGACUAAAAUUAAUCAAAGCAAUGGGAGUUUUAGAAGGCAAGAAAUUUAUUCAGAUGAUGUAAUAACCAUGUCAUUGUUAAGCCUUAACUUUUCUUUCUUGGGUGGUGCAGAAGAUGCAGCAAAAUACAAGCUGCUUUGACAAUCCUCUUGCAGUUUUUUCUCUGUAGAUAGUUAUACCAAAAAAACAAAAAAGAGAGAGAAAAGCUUUAAGCUGUAAGGAGAAAGUAGAAUAACGCAAUAGAUUAAAGUCUUCUUAUCUGUUUAUAGACAUUGUACAUCCCAAUUUCUCUAGAAUAUUUAUCUUGAAGUCUCUGGUCAAAACAAUCAGACUUUGAAUUCCACCAGCUCCACGUGAAGUUCUCCCAGUGAGGAUUUAACAUCAUUGUGAAACACAUUCUUCCCAAAAGCUGCCAAAGCAGAUUCAUCUCAACUAAUAGCAAAGAAGGAUGAGCUGAUGUUUUUUAAAACCUGACAUUUGAUGUGCUCAGUCAAUCAGUUCAGACACAGAAGUAGAUGAAGAAAUUCUGGAGUUCAGUUUCCUCUCAAAGUUGUGGCAGUACCCGGAAUGCAAGAUUUCAUAAGUUUCUCCAUUUUUUUCUCCUUUGCAAUUAAAAGGGCUAUUUAAUAAUAAGCUUUCAUGGCCUUCGAAGAUUCCUGUUAAUACUCCCAUACUGUCCAAUCUUAAAACUGCAGAGAAUUGUGCUUUGCAGAACACUCCACUGUUGUUAGUGGCACACAUUUAACAAUGUUUGGCAUGUGUCACUGCCCAUCACUUUCAGAUAAGUGAAAAAGCUGACCCUAUCUUCUGUGUCAUACAUGACUAUAUACUUAAUAUAAGCCUCAAACAUUUUUUUGGCUGCCAUCUUUAGCUACCUCAAAGGAGAAAAGAGAAAAACAAGCAGUAAUGAUGCUGGAAGCAUCUGGUCCCUUUUGCAGAGCGACAAAGAUUUUAUUGCGCUAUAGUGGCAGCAGUGGGUGGCCAGGCAAUACAGGCAUCCAGUUAUGUCUGAGCCUCAAUAAGUGAAAUGUUUUUUCAUUUUCUUUUUAUACACCUGUCUGCCGCCUAAAACCUGACACCAUUUAAUGGUGCCCUCACUCAGUCUAAAUGAUCUUACUUUCAUAAUCCUCUGAUUCUAGCUUGAAGAGCCAAGGAGAACUCUAACUCAUGGGAUGGAUAAAAUGGAAGAUGUAAAUAAGUAAAAGUUUUUGGAGCUAAAAAGCCUCUUCUUAUACAAAACUAAACUUUAAAAACAUUGACCUCAAAACAAUAUAACUGUCCUGGAUAUGCAACAGAAAUAGCAGUAUAAAUGGCACCAUAUCCACCACCACCAUCUCUGGGUACCCCACCUGUCAUACACCUCAUUGAUUAUAGGCUUUACUCUGAAUGCUUCUUAUUCUACUUUCUCUGUGUUCCUACCAGCCAAGGAAUUCUUUCCAAUUGAUUUUCUAUAUUAAGAAAAAUUAACUAUUUUUUCUUUUUAAUAUUGUAAUACUAAAUCUGAUUUUAUAAACUGUAACUCUCCCCAUACCCUGCAAUGCUGAUAUAAUGUGUGUGUGUGUAGGGGGGCGAGAAUGCCGUUCUUUCCUGUUCCUGAAAAUCACUGACCUAUUCCUUGAGCCCAUGAGUAACAACUCCCUGAAACAGCAUAGUCCCUAAAACCAAAAAACCUUGGUCACCUCCAAAGCAGAUUAAAAUUUUGUUGAAUUAGUAGCUGACAAGAGAGAACUUAAUGUAACCAGAACUGUGCAGUGGAUAAUGUAUAGCAUAUUAAAUAAACCUUUAUACAAAAAUA
Molecule: non-coding RNA, 2059 nt
Organism: Vicugna pacos (alpaca)
Lineage: Eukaryota; Metazoa; Chordata; Mammalia; Artiodactyla; Camelidae
Source: RefSeq, a predicted model, not a curated record